This is a long non-coding RNA of Dreissena polymorpha, 354 nucleotides long. RefSeq lists it as uncharacterized. NCBI's taxonomy places the organism in Eukaryota, Metazoa, Mollusca, Bivalvia, Myida, Dreissenidae. The transcript has 3 exons. The record is from RefSeq and is a predicted model, not a curated record.
GCCAGUCACAUAUGAAGAAAACAAGGACAGAAACUGAAGCAAGCACCACUUCAGGUUCACAAGUUGAGACAGCAGUCCAUAUGUCAUCCAUCAGCUCCCAAUCUAGUUACAGAAAAAUUGGAUAAAAAAUUGCCGACCUGGAGAAGAAGACGCACAAACAGAAGAAAAGAGUUAAAGAUUUAGAGCAAAGAGCAAAUACUUCUUCCUGUGUGGAAUCCACUCCAGUAGACACAACUGAAGACCCAGAUAAGCAGUUGAAAGCCUAACUUGCCUUAGUAGCCAAUUUGUCGGGCAACACGUAAAGGGACACUUAUAUUAUUAUAAGGAGAUUAUCAUUACAAGUAUUUUCAAAAG